RNAcentral lists this ribosomal RNA (254 nucleotides) under uncultured bacterium. Its description in RNAcentral is "partial 16S ribosomal RNA". It matches the Rfam family "Bacterial small subunit ribosomal RNA", at positions 524 to 776 of the family's 1533-position model. The record is from RNAcentral.
UACGAAGGGGGCUAGCGUUGCUCGGAAUUACUGGGCGUAAAGGGCGCGUAGGUGGCGGGACAAGCGUGCGGUGAAAGCUCGGGGCUCAACCCCGAGUCGGCCGUGCGAACUGUUUUGCUUGAGCACUGUAGAGGCAGGCGGAAUUCCGGGUGUAGCGGUGGAAUGCGUAGAGAUCCGGAAGAACACCGGUGGCGAAGGCGGCCUGACUGGGCAGUAGCUGACACUGAGGCGCGACAGCGUGGGGAGCAAACAGG